AACGAACGCUGGCGGCAUGCCUAAUACAUGCAAGUCGAACGAACACUUCGGUGUUAGUGGCGCACGGGUGCGUAACGCGUGGGAAUCUGCCCUUGGGUUCGGAAUAACUUCGGGAAACUGAAGCUAAUACCGGAUGAUGACGUAAGUCCAGAGAUUUAUCGCCCAAGGAUGAGCCCGCGUAGGAUUAGGUAGUUGGUGAGGUAAAGGCUCACCAAGCCUACGAUCCUUAGCUGGUCUGAGAGGAUGAUCAGCCACACUGGGACUGAGACACGGCCCAGACUCCUACGGGAGGCAGCAGUAGGGAAUAUUGGACAAUGGGGGCAACCCUGAUCCAGCAAUGCCGCGUGAGCGAUGAAGGCCUUAGGGUUGUAAAGCUCUUCUACCCGAGAUGAUAAUGACAGUAUCGGGAGAAUAAGCCCCGGCUAACUCCGUGCCAGCCGCCGCCGUAA
RNAcentral lists this ribosomal RNA (449 nucleotides) under uncultured bacterium. Its description in RNAcentral is "partial 16S ribosomal RNA". It matches the Rfam family "Bacterial small subunit ribosomal RNA", at positions 29 to 523 of the family's 1533-position model. The record is from RNAcentral.